UCGCUUACAGAGGUUCAAGUUGCACGAGCCUAUUGUCUGCGUUGAUGGUUUUUUGCUAAUUGAGUUGUUAGGUCGGGGUUCAAGUAAAAGCAGCAGAUGGAAAAUAUAAUAUAUGGUCUCUGCAAGAUUGUUAUGCCUUUGAGUGCUUUUGUAGGCGCAAGCAUGGUAUUAAUGAAAGAAAAAGUCGGUUUUAGAUUUACAACAAGAGUGCAGUGAUGCCUACGUGUUGUGUGAUGCGCCUUUCUUGAUUUGGGCUAUUCAAGAUAAUGUCGAACCUAUUAAGAUCAUAUAAGGGUGUUUAUGGGUUUACAAUGUCGAGUUGUCUACUACCGAGUAAGUAUCAUUUAAGUACUAUUUAAGACAUACAUGUGUUUAACACUUUU
This 383-nucleotide long non-coding RNA is filed under the name Helianthus annuus (common sunflower). RNAcentral's name for it is "sRNA HanXRQr2_Chr15g0673261". The record is from RNAcentral. Lineage: Eukaryota; Viridiplantae; Streptophyta; Magnoliopsida; Asterales; Asteraceae.